Molecule: long non-coding RNA, 4548 nt
Organism: Homo sapiens (human)
Lineage: Eukaryota; Metazoa; Chordata; Mammalia; Primates; Hominidae
Gene: MALAT1
Product: metastasis associated lung adenocarcinoma transcript 1
Source: Ensembl
AGGCAUUGAGGCAGCCAGCGCAGGGGCUUCUGCUGAGGGGGCAGGCGGAGCUUGAGGAAACCGCAGAUAAGUUUUUUUCUCUUUGAAAGAUAGAGAUUAAUACAACUACUUAAAAAAUAUAGUCAAUAGGUUACUAAGAUAUUGCUUAGCGUUAAGUUUUUAACGUAAUUUUAAUAGCUUAAGAUUUUAAGAGAAAAUAUGAAGACUUAGAAGAGUAGCAUGAGGAAGGAAAAGAUAAAAGGUUUCUAAAACAUGACGGAGGUUGAGAUGAAGCUUCUUCAUGGAGUAAAAAAUGUAUUUAAAAGAAAAUUGAGAGAAAGGACUACAGAGCCCCGAAUUAAUACCAAUAGAAGGGCAAUGCUUUUAGAUUAAAAUGAAGGUGACUUAAACAGCUUAAAGUUUAGUUUAAAAGUUGUAGGUGAUUAAAAUAAUUUGAAGGCGAUCUUUUAAAAAGAGAUUAAACCGAAGGUGAUUAAAAGACCUUGAAAUCCAUGACGCAGGGAGAAUUGCGUCAUUUAAAGCCUAGUUAACGCAUUUACUAAACGCAGACGAAAAUGGAAAGAUUAAUUGGGAGUGGUAGGAUGAAACAAUUUGGAGAAGAUAGAAGUUUGAAGUGGAAAACUGGAAGACAGAAGUACGGGAAGGCGAAGAAAAGAAUAGAGAAGAUAGGGAAAUUAGAAGAUAAAAACAUACUUUUAGAAGAAAAAAGAUAAAUUUAAACCUGAAAAGUAGGAAGCAGAAGAAAAAAGACAAGCUAGGAAACAAAAAGCUAAGGGCAAAAUGUACAAACUUAGAAGAAAAUUGGAAGAUAGAAACAAGAUAGAAAAUGAAAAUAUUGUCAAGAGUUUCAGAUAGAAAAUGAAAAACAAGCUAAGACAAGUAUUGGAGAAGUAUAGAAGAUAGAAAAAUAUAAAGCCAAAAAUUGGAUAAAAUAGCACUGAAAAAAUGAGGAAAUUAUUGGUAACCAAUUUAUUUUAAAAGCCCAUCAAUUUAAUUUCUGGUGGUGCAGAAGUUAGAAGGUAAAGCUUGAGAAGAUGAGGGUGUUUACGUAGACCAGAACCAAUUUAGAAGAAUACUUGAAGCUAGAAGGGGAAGUUGGUUAAAAAUCACAUCAAAAAGCUACUAAAAGGACUGGUGUAAUUUAAAAAAAACUAAGGCAGAAGGCUUUUGGAAGAGUUAGAAGAAUUUGGAAGGCCUUAAAUAUAGUAGCUUAGUUUGAAAAAUGUGAAGGACUUUCGUAACGGAAGUAAUUCAAGAUCAAGAGUAAUUACCAACUUAAUGUUUUUGCAUUGGACUUUGAGUUAAGAUUAUUUUUUAAAUCCUGAGGACUAGCAUUAAUUGACAGCUGACCCAGGUGCUACACAGAAGUGGAUUCAGUGAAUCUAGGAAGACAGCAGCAGACAGGAUUCCAGGAACCAGUGUUUGAUGAAGCUAGGACUGAGGAGCAAGCGAGCAAGCAGCAGUUCGUGGUGAAGAUAGGAAAAGAGUCCAGGAGCCAGUGCGAUUUGGUGAAGGAAGCUAGGAAGAAGGAAGGAGCGCUAACGAUUUGGUGGUGAAGCUAGGAAAAAGGAUUCCAGGAAGGAGCGAGUGCAAUUUGGUGAUGAAGGUAGCAGGCGGCUUGGCUUGGCAACCACACGGAGGAGGCGAGCAGGCGUUGUGCGUAGAGGAUCCUAGACCAGCAUGCCAGUGUGCCAAGGCCACAGGGAAAGCGAGUGGUUGGUAAAAAUCCGUGAGGUCGGCAAUAUGUUGUUUUUCUGGAACUUACUUAUGGUAACCUUUUAUUUAUUUUCUAAUAUAAUGGGGGAGUUUCGUACUGAGGUGUAAAGGGAUUUAUAUGGGGACGUAGGCCGAUUUCCGGGUGUUGUAGGUUUCUCUUUUUCAGGCUUAUACUCAUGAAUCUUGUCUGAAGCUUUUGAGGGCAGACUGCCAAGUCCUGGAGAAAUAGUAGAUGGCAAGUUUGUGGGUUUUUUUUUUUUACACGAAUUUGAGGAAAACCAAAUGAAUUUGAUAGCCAAAUUGAGACAAUUUCAGCAAAUCUGUAAGCAGUUUGUAUGUUUAGUUGGGGUAAUGAAGUAUUUCAGUUUUGUGAAUAGAUGACCUGUUUUUACUUCCUCACCCUGAAUUCGUUUUGUAAAUGUAGAGUUUGGAUGUGUAACUGAGGCGGGGGGGAGUUUUCAGUAUUUUUUUUUGUGGGGGUGGGGGCAAAAUAUGUUUUCAGUUCUUUUUCCCUUAGGUCUGUCUAGAAUCCUAAAGGCAAAUGACUCAAGGUGUAACAGAAAACAAGAAAAUCCAAUAUCAGGAUAAUCAGACCACCACAGGUUUACAGUUUAUAGAAACUAGAGCAGUUCUCACGUUGAGGUCUGUGGAAGAGAUGUCCAUUGGAGAAAUGGCUGGUAGUUACUCUUUUUUCCCCCCACCCCCUUAAUCAGACUUUAAAAGUGCUUAACCCCUUAAACUUGUUAUUUUUUACUUGAAGCAUUUUGGGAUGGUCUUAACAGGGAAGAGAGAGGGUGGGGGAGAAAAUGUUUUUUUCUAAGAUUUUCCACAGAUGCUAUAGUACUAUUGACAAACUGGGUUAGAGAAGGAGUGUACCGCUGUGCUGUUGGCACGAACACCUUCAGGGACUGGAGCUGCUUUUAUCCUUGGAAGAGUAUUCCCAGUUGAAGCUGAAAAGUACAGCACAGUGCAGCUUUGGUUCAUAUUCAGUCAUCUCAGGAGAACUUCAGAAGAGCUUGAGUAGGCCAAAUGUUGAAGUUAAGUUUUCCAAUAAUGUGACUUCUUAAAAGUUUUAUUAAAGGGGAGGGGCAAAUAUUGGCAAUUAGUUGGCAGUGGCCUGUUACGGUUGGGAUUGGUGGGGUGGGUUUAGGUAAUUGUUUAGUUUAUGAUUGCAGAUAAACUCAUGCCAGAGAACUUAAAGUCUUAGAAUGGAAAAAGUAAAGAAAUAUCAACUUCCAAGUUGGCAAGUAACUCCCAAUGAUUUAGUUUUUUUCCCCCCAGUUUGAAUUGGGAAGCUGGGGGAAGUUAAAUAUGAGCCACUGGGUGUACCAGUGCAUUAAUUUGGGCAAGGAAAGUGUCAUAAUUUGAUACUGUAUCUGUUUUCCUUCAAAGUAUAGAGCUUUUGGGGAAGGAAAGUAUUGAACUGGGGGUUGGUCUGGCCUACUGGGCUGACAUUAACUACAAUUAUGGGAAAUGCAAAAGUUGUUUGGAUAUGGUAGUGUGUGGUUCUCUUUUGGAAUUUUUUUCAGGUGAUUUAAUAAUAAUUUAAAACUACUAUAGAAACUGCAGAGCAAAGGAAGUGGCUUAAUGAUCCUGAAGGGAUUUCUUCUGAUGGUAGCUUUUGUAUUAUCAAAGGCAUUUCAUCCUUCAUGAAGCCAUUCAGGAUUUUGAAUUGCAUAUGAGUGCUUGGCUCUUCCUUCUGUUCUAACUUCACAGAGAAUGCAGUUGUCUUGACUUCAGGUCUGUCUGUUCUGUUGGCAAGUAAAUGCAGUACUGUUCUGAUCCCGCUGCUAUUAGAAUGCAUUGUGAAACGACUGGAGUAUGAUUAAAAGUUGUGUUCCCCAAUGCUUGGAGUAGUGAUUGUUGAAGGAAAAAAUCCAGCUGAGUGAUAAAGGCUGAGUGUUGAGGAAAUUUCUGCAGUUUUAAGCAGUCGUAUUUGUGAUUGAAGCUGAGUACAUUUUGCUGGUGUAUUUUUAGGUAAAAUGCUUUUUGUUCAUUUCUGGUGGUGGGAGGGGACUGAAGCCUUUAGUCUUUUCCAGAUGCAACCUUAAAAUCAGUGACAAGAAACAUUCCAAACAAGCAACAGUCUUCAAGAAAUUAAACUGGCAAGUGGAAAUGUUUAAACAGUUCAGUGAUCUUUAGUGCAUUGUUUAUGUGUGGGUUUCUCUCUCCCCUCCCUUGGUCUUAAUUCUUACAUGCAGGAACACUCAGCAGACACACGUAUGCGAAGGGCCAGAGAAGCCAGACCCAGUAAGAAAAAAUAGCCUAUUUACUUUAAAUAAACCAAACAUUCCAUUUUAAAUGUGGGGAUUGGGAACCACUAGUUCUUUCAGAUGGUAUUCUUCAGACUAUAGAAGGAGCUUCCAGUUGAAUUCACCAGUGGACAAAAUGAGGAAAACAGGUGAACAAGCUUUUUCUGUAUUUACAUACAAAGUCAGAUCAGUUAUGGGACAAUAGUAUUGAAUAGAUUUCAGCUUUAUGCUGGAGUAACUGGCAUGUGAGCAAACUGUGUUGGCGUGGGGGUGGAGGGGUGAGGUGGGCGCUAAGCCUUUUUUUAAGAUUUUUCAGGUACCCCUCACUAAAGGCACCGAAGGCUUAAAGUAGGACAACCAUGGAGCCUUCCUGUGGCAGGAGAGACAACAAAGCGCUAUUAUCCUAAGGUCAAGAGAAGUGUCAGCCUCACCUGAUUUUUAUUAGUAAUGAGGACUUGCCUCAACUCCCUCUUUCUGGAGUGAAGCAUCCGAAGGAAUGCUUGAAGUACCCCUGGGCUUCUCUUAACAUUUAAGCAAGCUGUUUUUAUAGCAGCUCUUAAUAAUAAAGCCCAAAUCUCAA